Molecule: long non-coding RNA, 487 nt
Filed under: Struthio camelus australis
Lineage: Eukaryota; Metazoa; Chordata; Aves; Struthioniformes; Struthionidae
Description: lncRNA (ENSSCUG00000011915.1)
Source: RNAcentral
CUGCUCGCAGCACAGAAGCGGUGCUCUAAAAGGAGUAUUGCACCCAGCUCUUCCUUCUGGAGCCUUCCUGGAGUAUGAGGGAUGGGAGCCAAAGUAGCUGCUGGAAGGAACAGUAACAUGCUCCACACCAAUUGCUGCCUCGUGAUUGCAACCAGAAAAUGACUUGUUGCUGUGUGAGCCUUGUCCCAUCUGGACUUGAAAAUGUGAGCGCCUCAUGACUGAGGAAACUGCAGAAGAGAUGCCGUCACUUUUGUGAGAGGUGCCAGUCGGUGAUAUCUUCCACUGGAAAACGAUCAAAUCAGAUCUCCAAGACAUUUGCCGAAUUAGAGGUGGGAAUGUGGUGCUGCUAUACCUCUAAAAGAGUGCUGGAGAAACUGAUGAAUCUGUAAGUGCAAAUCUCUUGCGGCUUUUUUCACCAGCUAUUGAGCUGAUGCUGGGUGUUUCUUCUGGUGCAUUUGCUCCAGAGGAAAGAACAAGUUAUGAAAAA